Molecule: long non-coding RNA, 398 nt
Filed under: Mustela putorius furo (domestic ferret)
Lineage: Eukaryota; Metazoa; Chordata; Mammalia; Carnivora; Mustelidae
Description: lncRNA (ENSMPUG00000025964.1)
Source: RNAcentral
GGACAGGCAAGAGGCCAGUGGAAAACGUUUUCUCUAACAGUUGGGCACUUCUGUGACUCUGAAAGCAAACUUGUUUGUUUCAUUUCAACAAUAGAAAAAAGCAUUCCUGUUUUUGGAGAUGUUACCCAGCAUAAAAAUAUAUUUGCAAUGGUUGCUAGGAUGAUUAUGCAGAUCUAUCUGAUAAAGGGAAAAAAUUUCAGCAACUUCACCCAGCUUCUACUAUCUACACGGCUGCAUUUGAAAGGCCAAAGAGUUUCAAUAGAUCCCUGAUGGAGAACAGGAGAGAAAGCUGAGGUCCCCAGCAAGGUGGGGAGCUGGAUUCAAGACCUGCCGGGUAAGUCUAGGACCCAUACAGUGAUUAAACUGGAAAACACUUCACACCUUUUGCAUUCUUAAGG